UUAAUUAGGGAUAAAACUAGUAUUAAUUAAAUCCAAAAAUAUAGGAUAAAACAUGGUCUAAAAGUCUAGGAUUUUUAAGGGAUAAAAAUAAGGGAUAAAAAUAAGGGAUAAAAACACAAGGGAAUAAGGGACAAAAACACAAGGGACAAUAUAACAAUUUCAAGGGAUAAAAACAAGGGAUAAAAUUUAUGGUAUAAAAUUAUGAGAUAAUUUCAGGGAUAAUUAUGGGAUAAAAUUUAAGGAUAAAUUCUAGAAUUUUAAGGGAUGUAAAUUAGGGAUAAAAUUGGGAUAAGGGAUAUAUCUUAUUACGUUUUAUUUGACUUUCUUAAUUAAAUUAAAUUAUAUUUUCAAAUCAAAUGGGACAAGGACAUGGGAUAAAAUAUGGAAUAAAACUCUAAGGUUUUCAAGGGUUAAAUGAGGGAUAAAAUCGGGAUAAAGGAUUAUGUCUAAUAUUCUAGUAUAAUCACUAAUUUAUUUUUUAAAAUAAAUUAAAUAUUAUCUUUACAAAUAAUCAAGGGAUAAAAUCAAAUUCGACGCACUUCAAACUAUAAGUCCUCUACCUUAGUGUAUUGAGGCAUUUUCUUAAAAUCAAUCACUUCUCCGCCCCCGAUGCGUGAGAAUUUUUAAGGGAUAAAAAC
This 638-nucleotide long non-coding RNA is filed under the name Lathyrus oleraceus (garden pea). RNAcentral's name for it is "Pisum sativum (pea) long non-coding RNA (PSAT_LNC033325)". Lineage: Eukaryota; Viridiplantae; Streptophyta; Magnoliopsida; Fabales; Fabaceae. The record is from RNAcentral.